Molecule: long non-coding RNA, 6588 nt
Organism: Acinonyx jubatus (cheetah)
Lineage: Eukaryota; Metazoa; Chordata; Mammalia; Carnivora; Felidae
Exons: 3
Source: RefSeq, a predicted model, not a curated record
UCCGUUGGUGCUGGCGCCACAGCGCAUUUGCCGGGCGGAGAGGUGGGCGGGAGGCCGGCGGCUCUUGCCGGCGGUAGGAGCCCGCAUGCGCUGUGGAGGGCGAGGGAGGUGCUCUUCUGAGCAUCCGGCUUCUCCCUUGCUAGAAGUCUUCCACCUACGAGGAUGUGGUCCCGGGGCCCCCGUUUCUCCGAAGACCGUCCCGAUCGAGGCAGGUAGUGGCUUCUGGGAGGUUCUCCGGGUGCCCGCCUCAGCCGCGGCUGUCGUGUAAGGAGUGUGCCGCCCGCCCUCGCAGAGGCUGUCGGAGACCUUCCCGCCUUGUCCGUCCCCUGACCCCGCACAGGCUGCACACGUUCUGUCCCCCGAGGCGGCUGCCACGAACAAAGGCCGCCUUAGGCCCUUGCGUCCUGUGGGCCAGGCCCUCGAGAGUCUGCGAACACAUUCUUGGAACCACCACCUGGAUGAAGAAAUGGAACCUUACCGCGCUUCCUACCUCCUACUGACUCCCACCGAACGUCCCCCAAAGGUAACCACGGUCUUGACUUUCACCAGCGAUGGCUUUGGCUUGUUCUUCGCUUCAUGUUGAGCCAACCCUUGAGUGCUGUGUGUGCGCAAUGCACCUGCUUUCCUUGCGUGGCUGUGCCGGUCCUCCCCUGCUGUCGAAGGCCCAGUGUGUGAGCACAGCACGGUUUAUUCUUUCUCCUGUGGGUGCUCCGGUUUGUGCAGAGGCUGCCUGCAGAUCCACAUGCAUCGUAUUGGGUUGCCUUGGAGGAGCAGGGCGUGAGUGGUGGCACGUGUCUGUUCCCCACGAGCAACAGCGUGCGGGAGCUCAGGGCUGGCUGAUGCCUGGUAUUGCCUCUUCUCGUGUGUUAGCUGGUUGCUGGGGCUCAGGUGCUGGGAGGUAUGGUGUAUUCGUGGGACCCGCCCCUGUGUGUGUCUUGGCCACUUACGUGUUUCUUUUGUAUAAUAAUUGCCUUUUGGAAGCCACUUUGUGAUUAGGUUGUGUGUUUUGGUUUUUGUUGAUUUGAAUGAGUUCUUUCUACGUGUGUGGAAUACAUCUGUGAAUGGCAGAGGUUUUCACAUUCUUGUGUAUGUCUGCCUUACAUUCUCUGUGUUGCCUUGUGGUAAGUUUCUUUUGUUUCUAUCCAAUAGUAUAACCAUUUGUAUGUUUCUUGCCUUGGAUUGGCUAGGGCCUCCAGUACUGUGUUGAAUGGAAGUGGUGAGAGUAGGUGUCCUUGUCUCCUUCCAGAUACGAGAGAGAAGGGUUUCGUAAGUUUUUGUAUACUUAAUAUUUUUUAAAGUUUCUUUCUUUAUUGAUUCCGAGAGCGUGCAUGGGAAGGGGAGUGAGAGAUGGGAAAGAGAGUGGAUCCCAAGCAGACUCCGCCCUGUCAGCACAGAGUCUGAUGCGAGGCUUGAACUCAUGAACCGUGAGCUCAUGGCCUGAGCUGAAAUCAAGAGUCAGACGCUUCACCGACUAGAAGCCACUCAGGUGCCCCAAAGAGUUCAGUAUUUUACCACUACAUAUGACACUUUCCGUGGCAUUCCUGGUAGAUAGUUGGAUCAAAACAUGAAAAUUCUCCUCUAUUUUUAGUUUGCUCUGAUUUUUCAACAAUCAUCAAAGAAAUAAUAAUACUAAAUUUUCUGAAAUGUGUUUUGUGCAUCUUUGGGGACAAGUGAUUUGUUUCAAUGUUGUGGUUUAACUUAAAACAACUUUUGCCCUUCUAGAAUAAAUCAAACCUGAUGUCUAUGCAUUCUCUUUUCACUGGAUUGCAUUGGUAAAUAGUGUGCUUUGGAUCCUCGCAUGUGUAUUCAAGAGAGAGGUGGGUGUUCCCUUGCACCCUCUUGUGCUGUCCUUGCUGGGGUUUGGGUUACAGGUCGUGCUGGCCUCCUAAAACAACGUAGGAAGAAGCACUCCUUGUGCUUUCCCAGAAGAGUUUUUGUGUGUGUUCUUUUCUUUUGGGAAGAAGUGCUAGGCCAACAGCGGGUGUAGGGUUUUCCUUGUGAGAAGGGUUUUCAUUGCAGAUUCCUUUCUUAAGUGGAAAUGGGAUUUUUCUGAUUUCCCAUAUCUUCUUGUGUCUAUUUAGAUGAGGCAUUUUGUUUUCUAGGAAUUUGCUCUGACCUCCCAAACUUUCCAAGGAAUAAGUGUCAACUGGUUUCUAAUAUCCCUCCUAUCUGCAGCAUCUGGUGUGAUAUUUGCUUUAGAACUUCUUGAUAUUGGUACUUUGUGCUUUGUUUCUUUUUCAUAGCACCAACUUGGGCUGUUUUGAUUUCUGUCAUUUACUAUUUGUUUCCUGCAGCACUGAUUUCUGCCCUUCUGUUUUCCAUCUACUUGGUGAUGGUUUGCUGUCCCAUCUUGUAGUUCUAGAACUAAAUCCUUCAUUUGAUUUUUAGCCUUUGUUCUUUUCCAGUAUGUGUAUUGUAUUUAUUUGCUUAUUAGUGUGUUGAUUCAUUUUAGAAUGAGAGCAUGAGCAGGGCAGAGGGUCAGACGGAGAGGGAGAGAGAGAGAGAGAGAGAGAGAGAGGGAGAGAAUCUCGAGCAGGCUCCUCACUCAGUGUGGAGCCAGGCUGGGGAUUGAUCUUGUGGCCGUGGGAUCAUACCCUGAGCCAAAAUCAAGAGUUGGUCACCAAGCAACUGAGCUAUCCUAUGAUAUAUGUAUUCUAAAGCUAUGAGUCUCCCUUUAAGCACACCUUUACUGAUCUCACAAGUUUUGAUAAGCCAAAUGUUUAUUAUCUUUUAUGUGAAACUAUUUCCUAACUUUCAUUGUGGCAUCUUUUUCUUAAUUCAUCACAACGUUUAGGAACAUAACACAUCUUGAUGUUUCGGGGAUUUUCUCGUUCUCUUUGUGCGGAUUUCUAGCUGAAUUCCAUGAAGGUAUCUGUCUCAGUGUUUUGGGGUGGUUGUAACAAAAUACCAUAGACUGGCUGCCUAAUAAGAAACAGAAACUUCUUUCCUACAGUUGAGGAGACUGGGAAGUUCUCAAGAUCAAGGCAUCUGCAGAUUCAGGGUCAGGUGAGAGUCAGCUUCCUGGUUCAUCAACAGCCUGCUUCUCCCUGUCCUCCUGUGGUGGCAGGGGUGACGGUGCUCUCUCAGUCGCCCAGGACUGGUCAUCACCGGAAGUCUCCCUGUCUUCAUCCCAUCACUGUGGACGUGAUGAAUUGUUGGGGGAAUUGAACUGUGAAUCUAAUGCAAUCCCUAAAUAUGCCCUGCAGUAUUUCAGUCCUUUCAGAUGAGCUGACUUUCCUAAUGGCCUGGCAUAUAUUCGUUUUCAUGAACCGUUCCUCGGGCACGUGAAAAUAAUGUGUAUUGGGGGAAUGCAGUAGUCUCUAUUUAUAGGUUAGAUGAAGCUCGUUAAUGACAGAAUUCAGAUUUUAGUAACCACUUGAAACCAAGUAAGGAAUAGGUGAGAAUGAGUUUCAUAAUAUAACCAGCAGGCAUGUCCAAAAUAUCAUUUCAGUGUAUAGCCGGCGUGAGAAAAAAUUAUGAAUGAUUUUGAAUUCUCUUUUAUCACGUUGUCUUUAAAAUGUGGUGUGCAUUUUAUACUUUCCACACGUCGCACUUUGAGGAGCCGCGUUUCAAGUACUUGCAAUAGAGCACGUGACCGCAUUGGUCAGCCCCGUCCCACUGCCUUGAGUUUUCUGUUGUCGUCAGUUCUGUCAGAUACUGAGAGAUGUAUCGUCAAGUCUCCCAUCGUGCUUAUGGAUGUGGCUCUUUUUCCUUUUCUAUGUUUGUCAAUUUUUCUGUAUUUUGAGAUUGCGUUAUUAGGUAUAUGCGAGUUUGGAAGUCUUGUUCUCUUGGUAGAUGGAACUUCCAUCGGGAAACGGUCCUCUUGGUCACUAGUAGAGCUUUUUGCUAUAGAGGUUACUUUCUUGGAGGGUCCCAGUGGCCACAUCGGUUUUCUGUUCGGUAGGGUUUGCCUGGGGAUCUUUUACUUCCACCUGUCUGUGAUCUUACGUUUUAAGGUGUACCUUUGUGACCAGCGUAUGCUUAGUUUCCUUCUAAUGAAUUUGAGAGUCAACCUUUUCCUUGCAGCAUUUGUGCACAUGCAAUGACUGAUAGGUUAGUUUACACGUACCGUAUUAUUAGUUUCUUCUUUGUCCCAGCUGUUCUGUGUUCUUUUGGUCUCUAGCCUUCCUUUAGAAGUAGGAGGGAGUUUUUAAUUGUACACUGAUCUGUUAGGUAAUUGGAAUAUAUCUAUUUCUAGAGGCAGGUGCAUUUUAAACUGACCCCUGCCUGAUUCAGGACUUAUGCUGCUUCCCUGACACUGCUCUCUCCUUUUAUCUUUUCUUUGUUUUAAGAUUUAUUUGUUUUUUGAGAGAGACAUAAUACAAUCGGGUGAGGGGCAGAGCAGAAAGGGAGACACAGAAUCUGAAGCAGGCUCCAGGCUCUGAGUCAUCAGCACAGAGUCUGACGCGGGUCUCCAACUCACCAACCGUGAGAUCGUGACCUGAGCCAAAGUCGGACACUCAACCGACUGAGCUACCCAGGCGCCCCUGCUCUUUUCUUGGACACUCGAACCACACUGAACUCCUCUUCACCUUUUGUUGGCUAAUAUUUUUAAGUUUUAGAUGGAUUUUGGCGUUGGUGUCAUUGUUUCGUGCACUUAAUGCUUGUUAAGGUUUGUUCUCAUAGUUACCCUUUCUGUUGUGACGUUGUUCUGCAAGCCUUGUUUUUUCAUAUUUCUUUCAGAGACUACAUUUCUUUUGUGCAACGAGCUGCUUCAAUAUUGAUUUUAGUUUGUGUCUGUAGUUGAUGUGUAGUCAUGGUUUGUGUGUGUGUGUGUGUGUGUGUGUUGUUGUUGUUUUUGUUUGUUGUUUCUGUUUUUAUUUUUGUUUUUGCUUCUGUUUUGCCUGAAAAACAUCUUUACUUUGCCUUCACUGUGAAGAAUGUUUCUGUUAGGUAAAGACUUCCAGGUUGGUGGCUAUUUUAGUUGACCUUUCAUACAUGCCAAUCCAUCAUCUGGCUUCAUUUGCUCUUCUUGAAGAGUCAGCUGGUAGUGUUGUUGUUGUUGUCCCAUGGAAGGCGGUAUCUUUGUCCUCUCGUGACUGUUAACAUCUUUUUGCCUCGGGUGUUCUUUGUGGAGUCACUCUCAUGGUUCUUUUAUCAGUUUUGAUUCUUAUCUUUGUAGCGAAGUGGUACUACCCAUUCUGUGUUUCCUCUACUUUGUGGGUUCCUAUUGGACCUUUGUACCAUAUCUUCUGUGUCUUUUGGGCUUCUGUAUUUUCUGGACGUUUUCUCUGUGUAUGGUCUAGAUAUAUUUUUACCUAACUAUCUUUCAGUUCACUGAGUCUAUUCACCUGUGUCUAGUCUGAUGUGAAACCCACAGACUGAGUUCUUAAUGCCAUUAACAAGAUUUUUUAGUCUUUGAAUUAUGUUAGAGAGCUAGACAGAGUGGGAGCAAGGGAAGAACAGAGAGAGAGGGAGACACAGAUGCCGAAGCAGGCUCCAGGCUCUGCACUGUCAGCACAGAGCCCAACGCGGGGCUCAAACUCCCGAAUCACGAGAUCAUGACCUGAGCUGAAGUCAGAUGCUUAACCAACUGAGCCACUCAGGCACCUGGAGAUCUUAAUUUUAGCUCUGAUCAUUUGCAGUUGGAGAAUCUGUUUUGAGUCUCUGACAAUUUCCCAUUUGUCAAGAAUGGUUUUUGGACAGUUGACUUUUGCAUCCAAUAACUCCAGUCUAUGGGUCUCCUCUUGGUCUGUUUCUCUUCUUUCUUCUUUGGGUCGAUAUGAUGUAAAACCUGUUUGUUUGUUUGUUUUUUAUGUUUAUCUAUUUAUUUUGAGGGAGAAAGAAAGUGAGAGCAGGGGUGGGGGUAGAGGACGGGGGAGAGAGAGAGAGACACUGUUGAGGAGAGGCUCUUUUCUGUCAGUAGAGAGCCCAACACAGGGCUCAAACUCACAAACGUGAGCCGAAACCAAGUGUUGGUCACUUAAACGAGUAGACUGAGCUAUCCAGGUGCCUCUCUUUUUUUUGUUUGCUUGUUUGUUUCUUUCCUUUUCUUAUUAAAAUAAUUUUUUUUAAUAUUAUUUACUUUUGAGAGAGAGAGAGAGGUAGAGACAAAACUUGAACAGGGGAGGGGGAGGCAAAGUGGGAGACACAGAAUCCAAAGCAGGCUCCAGGCUCUUCACUGUCACCACAGAGCCCGACGCGGGACUCAAACCAUAAAGCGUCGGAUCAUGACAUGAACCAAAGUGGGAUGCUUCCCCGACUGAGCCACCCAGCCAUUCCUUUCAUUUCCUUGCCUUGCUUUGCCUUGCCUUGCCUUGCCUUGCCUUGCCUUGCCUUUCCUUUCCUUUCCUUUCCUUUCCUUUCCUUUCCUUUCCUUUCCUUUCGUUUCCUUGCCUUUCGUUUCCCUUCAUUUCGUUUCCUUUUCAUUUUUUUCUUUUCUUUUCUUUUUUCUUUUCUUUUCUUUUCUGUCUUUUUUUGGUCUUGUCUUAUCUUGUCUUUUCAUUUCUUCUUUGUUUUUAUUUUUGUGCUGGACUGUAUGGAGAAGCAUAGAGGCUCUUCGUGUGCUUGUAUUCCUUCAGCAUUUCAUCCCACACACCCCGAGUGCGGCGGUUAUUGGGCCCACUCAGGCGUGAGUGAGUCGAGACU